AGCGCUCCCGGCGGGGCGCCCCGCUCUGCGCCGUUCCCUCCGCCGUCGCCCAGCCACCGCCUUUCGCACGCGCCGGAACCGCUUUUGUGGUCUCCGAGACACUCAUUUGCUGUCCUGGUUUCCAAAGCUCCACGUGCUCAGCGCCGAAAACUUGCAAAUCAUUUGCUCAGGUCUAUACUGGGCGCCCGCUGCGUGCCAGGUACUGCCACCGGCUCUCUCCUCACGGUGGAAUAACUUAACAGAGAAGACAGACAUCAAUCAAAUACCCUGGAAACGUGGAAGGCAGGGGAAAGAACAAAGGGAGAGCAAAAUCGCCCCAAUCCCACAUCACCCGCGACGUGAAAGGAUUUGUCCUUCCAGCUGCGGGACUCCUAUUUGUUUAUUUCAAGUCAGAGGCCUUCCCUUUAUGCCCACAUCUGUUCCCGACCCUCUCCUCUGAUUUUCCUCACAUGUAUUUCCUCCCCUCUUCAGCCCCGCGCCAGCUCCAGGCACAGCCGUUCAGGGUGAUGCCAAAGGGAAAUGAGAACGCCUGGUUUCGAGUGCCAGCCUGAGGCCCCUUAAGCCCUAGCCUGGCUCCAAAAACUGCAGCCUGUUUCCCUCAACAAAAAUGACGUCAAGAAUACCUAGAUGUGACCACACCGAACUUGCUUGCCCGUUUUGGGAAACCCAACUUUCUUCCUGAAUAGUCAGAACCUCUGGCUUUCCUGGUCUCUUAAGAACCGCAAACUAUUGAAAAGCAGAUGCGUCUUUCAGCCUCUUUAAUAAAUGCAGUAAGGAGA
RNAcentral lists this long non-coding RNA (779 nucleotides) under Homo sapiens (human). RNAcentral describes it as "HSALNT0312401". Lineage: Eukaryota; Metazoa; Chordata; Mammalia; Primates; Hominidae. The record is from RNAcentral.